This 293-nucleotide ribosomal RNA is filed under the name uncultured prokaryote. RNAcentral's name for it is "partial 16S ribosomal RNA". It matches the Rfam family "Archaeal small subunit ribosomal RNA", at positions 455 to 747 of the family's 1478-position model. The record is from RNAcentral.
GUGCCAGCAGCCGCGGUAAUACCGGCAGUCCGAGUGAUGGCCGAUCUUAUUGGGCCUAAAGCGUCCGUAGCUGGCUGAACAAGUCCGUUGGGAAAUCUGUCCGCUUAACGGGCAGGCGUCCAGCGGAAACUGUUCAGCUUGGGACCGGAAGACCUGAGGGGUACGUCUGGGGUAGGAGUGAAAUCCUGUAAUCCUGGACGGACCGCCGGUGGCGAAAGCGCCUCAGGAGAACGGAUCCGACAGUGAGGGACGAAAGCUAGGGUCUCGAACCGGAUUAGAUACCCGGGUAGUCC